CCUACGGGUGGCUGCAGUGGGGAAUUUUGGACAAUGGGCGAAAGCCUGAUCCAGCAAUGCCGCGUGAGUGAAGAAGGCCUUCGGGUUGUAAAGCUCUUUUGUUUGGGAAGAAAUCCCUAAGGAUAAUACCCUUGGGGGAUGACGGUACCAAAAGAAUAAGCACCGGCUAACUACGUGCCAGCAGCCGCGGUAAUACGUAGGGUGCAAGCGUUAAUUGGAAUGUGUGGGGGCGAUUCUGGCGGAGACGGGUGAAAUCCCCGAGCUCAACUUGGGAACUGCACUUGUGACUGCAAGACUAGAGUGUGUCAGAGGGAGGUAGAAUUCCACGUGUAGCAGUGAAAUGCGUAGAUAUGUGGAGGAAUACCAGUGGCGAAGGCGGCCUCCUGGGAUAACACUGACGCUCAUGUACGAAAGCGUGGGGAGCAAACAGGAUUAGAUACCCGAGUAGUC
RNAcentral lists this ribosomal RNA (450 nucleotides) under uncultured bacterium. RNAcentral's name for it is "partial 16S ribosomal RNA". It matches the Rfam family "Bacterial small subunit ribosomal RNA", at positions 338 to 795 of the family's 1533-position model. The record is from RNAcentral.